GUGCACCAGGCGAGAAACUUCACAAUGUGCGAAAGCACGAUGAGGGAAUCCCAAGUGCUUGCACGUAAGUGUAAGCUGUUUCUCUGUCUAAAACGCAGAGAGAGUAAGGGCUGGGUAAGACGGGUGCCAGCCGCCGCGGUAAUACCUGCAGCUCGAGUGGUGACCGUUAUUAUUGGGCCUAAAACGUCCGUAGCCGGUUUAAUAAAUGCCUGGGUAAAUCGGACCGCUUAACGGUUCGAAUUCCGGGUAGACUGUUAAACUUGAGACCGGGAGAAGUUAGAGGUACUCCUGGGGUAGAGGUGAAAUUCUGUAAUCCUAGGGGGACCACCAGUGGCGAAGGCGUCUAACUAGAACGGGUCUGACGGUGAGGGACGAAGCCCUGGGGCGCAAACGGGAUUAGAUACCCGUGUAGU
This 413-nucleotide ribosomal RNA is filed under the name uncultured microorganism. Its description in RNAcentral is "bacterial SSU rRNA". It matches the Rfam family "Archaeal small subunit ribosomal RNA", at positions 330 to 745 of the family's 1478-position model. The record is from RNAcentral.